ACCGACUUACGUUGAAAAGUGAGCGGAUGAACUGAGGGUAGCGGAGAAAUUCCAAUCGAACUUGGAGAUAGCUGGUUCUCUCCGAAAUAGCUUUAGGGCUAGCCUCAAGUGAUGAUUAUUGGAGGUAGAGCACUGUUUGGACGAGGGGCCCCUCUCGGGUUACCGAAUUCAGACAAACUCCGAAUGCCAAAUAAUUUAACUUGGGAGUCAGAAUGUGGGUGAUAAGGUCCAUAUUCGAAAGGGAAACAGCCCAGACCACCAGCUAAGGUCCCAAAAUAUAUGUUAAGUGGAAAAGGAUGUGGCGUUGCCCAGACAACUAGGAUGUUGGCUUAGAAGCAGCCAUCAUUUAAAGAGUGCGUAAUAGCUCACUAGUCGAGUGACACUGCGCCGAAAAUGUACCGGGGCUAAACAUAUUACCGAAGCUGUGGAUUGUCCUUUGGACAAUGGUAGGAGAGCGUUCUAAGGGCGUUGAAGCAUGAUCGCAAGGACAUGUGGAGCGCUUAGAAGUGAGAAUGCCGGUGUGAGUAGCGAAAGACGGGUGAGAAUCCCGUCCACCGAUUGACUAAGGUUUCCAGAGGAAGGCUCGUCCGCUCUGGGUUAGUCGGGUCCUAAGCUGAGGCCGACAGGCGUAGGCGAUGGAUAACAGGUUGAUAUUCCUGUACCACCAUUAUUCGUUUUAAGCGAUGGGGGGACGCAGUAGGAUAGGCGAAGCGUGCUGUUGGAGUGCACGUCCAAGCAGUGAGAUUGAGUGUUAGGCAAAUCCGGCACUCUUAAGAUUGAGCUGUGAUGGGGAGAGGAACUUGUUCCUCGAGUCGUUGAUUUCACACUGCCGAGAAAAGCCUCUAGCUAGAAUAACGGUGCCCGUACCGCAAACCGACACAGGUAGUCAAGAUGAGAAUUCUAAGGUGAGCGAGCGAACUCUCGUUAAGGAACUCGGCAAAAUGACCCCGUAACUUCGGGAGAAGGGGUGCUCUUUGAGGUUCACGCUUCGAAGAGCCGCAGUGAAUAGGCCCAAGCGACUGUUUAUCAAAAACACAGGUCUCUGCUAAACCGUAAGGUGACGUAUAGGGGCUGACGCCUGCCCGGUGCUGGAAGGUUAAGAGGAGUGGUUAGCGCAAGCGAAGCUACGAAUCGAAGCCCCAGUAAACGGCGGCCGUAACUAUAACGGUCCUAAGGUAGCGAAAUUCCUUGUCGGGUAAGUUCCGACCCGCACGAAAGGCGUAACGAUUUGGGCACUGUCUCAACGAGAGACUCGGUGAAAUCAUAGUACCGGUGAAGAUGCCGGUUACCCGCGACAGGACGGAAAGACCCCGUGGAGCUUUACUGUAGCCUGAUAUUGAAAUUCGGUACAGUUUGUACAGGAUAGGUAGGAGCCUUAGAAGCGUGAGCGCUAGCUUACGUGGAGGCAUUGGUGGGAUACUACCCUAAUUGUAUUGGAUUUCUAACCCGCAGCACUUAUCGUGCUGGGAGACAGUGUCAGGCGGGCAGUUUGACUGGGGCGGUCGCCUCCUAAAGAGUAACGGAGGCGCUCAAAGGUUCCCUCAGAAUGGUUGGAAAUCAUUCAUAGAGUGUAAAGGCAUAAGGGAGCUUGACUGCGAGACCUACAAGUCGAGCAGGGUCGAAAGACGGACUUAGUGAUCCGGUGGUUCCGCAUGGAAGGGCCAUCGCUCAACGGAUAAAAGCUACCCCGGGGAUAACAGGCUUAUCUCCCCCAAGAGUUCACAUCGACGGGGAGGUUUGGCACCUCGAUGUCGGCUCAUCGCAUCCUGGGGCUGUAGUCGGUCCCAAGGGUUGGGCUGUUCGCCCAUUAAAGCGGUACGCGAGCUGGGUUCAGAACGUCGUGAGACAGUUCGGUCCCUAUCCGUCGUGGGCGUAGGAAAUUUGAGAGGAGCUGUCCUUAGUACGAGAGGACCGGGAUGGACAUACCUCUGGUGUACCAGUUGUCGUGCCAACGGCAUAGCUGGGUAGCUAUGUAUGGACGGGAUAAGUGCUGAAAGCAUCUAAGCAUGAAGCCCCCCUCGAGAUGAGAUUUCCCAACUUCGGUUAUAAG
RNAcentral lists this ribosomal RNA (2050 nucleotides) under Staphylococcus pseudintermedius. RNAcentral describes it as "partial 23S ribosomal RNA". It matches the Rfam family "Bacterial large subunit ribosomal RNA", at positions 778 to 2832 of the family's 2925-position model. The record is from RNAcentral. Lineage: Bacteria; Bacillati; Bacillota; Bacilli; Caryophanales; Staphylococcaceae.